RNAcentral lists this transfer RNA (57 nucleotides) under Mecistocirrus digitatus. RNAcentral describes it as "tRNA-Phe". The record is from RNAcentral. Lineage: Eukaryota; Metazoa; Nematoda; Chromadorea; Rhabditida; Trichostrongylidae.
GUUUUUUAGUUUAAUUAAAAUAUAAUUUUGAAGCAAUUAAGAUUAAUAAAACGAUAA